Molecule: long non-coding RNA, 1055 nt
Filed under: Anas platyrhynchos platyrhynchos (common mallard)
Lineage: Eukaryota; Metazoa; Chordata; Aves; Anseriformes; Anatidae
Description: lncRNA (ENSAPLG00000018260.1)
Source: RNAcentral
AUGCUGCAAAUAAAUACUAGUGAAUAUAGAAGUGCUACAGGAACAGCAAACACAGAGUGUGACAUCAACAUCUCCAGUGUCGCUGGGUAUUCCUACAGAUUUCUCACCACCUUUCCUCACCCUCUUCCUGAUGCAGUGCUGCAGAGCAAGACGGGAUGUGAGACAGGAGGUACUGCAAAAACGAGAGUGAAGGCUCAGCUUCACCUCUCUGGAGAUAAAACCUUACAAGCAGCCACGAUCCCUUCCCCGAGCCUCUCUCUGUCACGAUGACAAGCAGCUCACUGCUGUCAGGCCCGUGUAGGAAAUCCACACAGCGACACGGAGAAUGUUUAUUGUGGAGGGAGAACUUUUGCCCUGUGAAGUCACCUCCUACCAGUCACCAGUAGGUUUCUGAUAUUCUAUCACAGGAAAUUCCUGGUGGACCACAAAAGCAGUCCCCUGAGUGCAGCUGCUGGGGGGGAGAAGCGGUGCGCUGCGCCGUGGGGCUGAGCCGCGGCGGCCAGGGUGCAACCGAGCACCUGUGCCCUGCAAAACGCAGACUGUGUGCUCUUCAAACAAUGUUCCAGUGAGCUAUACAGGGGGGCAAAGGUCACGCGAACCAUUAUUGUGCUGCAUUUUAUGCAAACAAAAAAAAAUGUAUUAGAGGAUGUGCUUUGUAUUGUAACAAGGUACUGUAAGAUUAUAUUUAGGCUUUGUGGCUUUGAAGCCCUUGGUAACACAACUGUAUAAUCACAGCUCUUGAUGUUAAUGAGGAAGUUAUAUCAUAAGGUACUCCAACUUACUGGGAACAGUGUAGGAAGAAUUAAUAACCUUUAGGAGAGCCUAUAAAUCCAGAUAUUGAAGCCUCGAAUGCUGGUUGUAUGAGAUAGAUACAUAUGAGAUGGAUAUACAUGUACAUAUACAUCUCAUAUACAUCUCUGCAAAGCAGAAAGAAUCACAGAAUCACAGAAUGGCUCAGGUUGGAAGGGACCUCAAAGGCCAUCUAGUUCCAACCCCACUGCCAUGGGCAGGGAUGCCACCCACUAGAUCAGGUUGCCCAGGGCCUCAUCCAACCU